CUUGGGCUCACGAUUCUCUGACACGGACGUUGGACCCCAGGGUCCCAAGUUCGAAUCCAGGCAAAGGUAAGUAUUCUAACUGGCCUUUUAUUUACAGAUUUGAGUCGUACUCAUGUAUAGUGGUUUGAGGUACUGGAACCUUAAAGGGAUAUCACCCUCAAAUUCCAUAAAGAUACCAUUCUUGGACCCUUAUAGGGAACUCCUUAAAAGGAUACCACUCUGUAACUACUUAAAAGGGAUACCACCCUUGAAUUCCGUAAAGUGAUAACACCCUUGGACAUAGACUAUCAAGAUGGUACUGUAUAAG
Non-coding RNA from Pelobates cultripes (western spadefoot toad), 307 nucleotides. The record is from the annotation of a GenBank genome assembly. Lineage: Eukaryota; Metazoa; Chordata; Amphibia; Anura; Pelobatidae.